Molecule: non-coding RNA, 658 nt
Organism: Musa acuminata subsp. malaccensis (wild Malaysian banana)
Lineage: Eukaryota; Viridiplantae; Streptophyta; Magnoliopsida; Zingiberales; Musaceae
Source: RefSeq, a predicted model, not a curated record
GCCAUCGGUGUUACUUCUCCUUUCCUCGUUGAUGGCGGCGGCCCGCUUCCGUCACUCGCGAUCUUCGUCGUAACAGAGCCGCGCUGCCACAGCUCCAACCGAAAUCGCCGACGCAGCAGCGGCGUUGGUUCGGACAUCGCCCUCUGACUUCUCCCACCCCUCACCUAUCGUCGCUAGACCCCCAGAUUUUGGCAGCGGUCCAACCCUUUCUUCCUUUCCUCUAUCUCUAUCUCCGUCGACCUAGAAUUUUUUUCUACUUAGUUACUUCACCUCCUCCAUCUCCAUCGACGUAGGAAUUUUUUUCGCUGCCCUGGGUGGAAUUGCAGGUCGCCAGCUGCAUCAUUCGUCCAAUUUCUUGUCGCUGCCGCACCUCUUCCCGCCGCUCGUCAGGACCAAUGGGAAUAGGGCGUGAGGAGGUUGGAGGCGCAACAGGUGCCCUCCAAGCAAGCGGAGGCUUUCACGUCAGUCAUCACGGUAGUUUGGAGAAUGUUGCCCGGUCCUAGUCUCGAAGCCGAAGAUGCAGAAGAGCUGCGAGGUGUUGACGAGGUACGCCUUAGUCGCGUUGGUCUUGAGAGCUAUGAAGAGAGGUGCCAUAGAGGUGAGAAAUUGGACGAAGUGUCACGAACGGUCGUCGCGCACCUGUAACAACUCUGUUCAA